Molecule: transfer RNA, 194 nt
Filed under: Azospirillum rugosum
Lineage: Bacteria; Pseudomonadati; Pseudomonadota; Alphaproteobacteria; Rhodospirillales; Azospirillaceae
Description: tRNA-OTHER
Source: RNAcentral
GGGGGAUUAGGUAACAGAUUAGGUAACAGCGGCUUUGUCAGCCCAUGUAAUGCCAUGUUACCUAAUGUCAUGCAAGCCCGCCGAAAAUCCAGACUGAUCAACGGCUUCGUGUCAUGCCGGGUAUCCCCAUGUCAUGCCGUGACCUUUCGUUUACACCGAGAGGGUCGGGGGUUCGAAACCCUCAUCGCCCACCA